AAAACUUUGAGUAAGGAAUGUUUUUUUUUUCAUGCUGUUGCCUGAAAACCCCACUCUAAAAAAGGGAGCAUGCCAAUUAGCAGCUUCACACUUGAGCAUCAGUGGGGACUGAAGAGAUUUAAAUUGCAGAACGCAAAAAUUCCCAUUCACCAUGUAUGUGAAAGCAUGUGCAAGUGCACUUUUCUGUGAAUGUAUGCGUGACAGUGUCUCUGUGAUAAGUGCUAUGCAAAAGAAUCUAACUAAACUGAAUUUACUGUAUCUGCAAUAUUGGCACUGACUGAGACCCAUAUUGAUAAACUGAAACAAAUUAUGCAUAAGGAAACCUACAUGUGUACAGUUUAAGUUGACUUAACCCAAACUGUCCUUUGAGCCUGUUACACUGGAUCCUCUUCCAAGAGACAAAGUGCCGCCUGCCAUUUUAUGGUGAUUUAGCAACCGUACACAAAGUGACACCGAGUUCACGUACAACUGUGACCAAAACCGCAGACUGUUUAACGAGGCCCACGCUACAGCGAAUCCAAAAUGAACCUCUACAACUAGUUCACCCCGCUGUGAUGCGCACAGCCAACCAAUAACAAGGCCAUAAAUACAAGUGGGGAGCCAAAAUAUUGGAUACUGUGUGAUACUGUCGACUUAGAUUGAAGAGCUCCUUUGCAUGUCAAUUGUGGGUGACCUAUUUUUUCUUUCUUAUUUUACUGUAAAAACAUGUUUUGUGUUGUCCUGGCUCUCUGUUAUCUAGUGGUGCUCAAAUACCUUAAAAGAUGUCCUCUUUGAAAACAGUAGAGCAGGGAUUGAUGGAUCCAUGGUUAUCCAGUUUAAUGUUUUGCAUACUCUUGGCAGAAGUUAAUUUCAUUUGUUAUUCUCCCUGGUUUGUCUCAUCGAUUUGACACUUCAUCUAAUAGCUUAGAGACGACAGAGCCUUAUCAUUUCUUGAUGAAUGAUCGCGACCUUUUCCUCGGUUCCUUUGGGAAUAGGAAUUGACAUCUGUUCUUACACAUUUGUAUGGUUUAUUCCAUACAGUCAGAGAGAGUUAGUGCGCAGAAUUUGUGUGUGUGUGUGUGUGUGUGUGUGUGUGCGCGCACACUUUCUGGAAGGAUAUAGGAGUUGGAGGUCAUACAGUAUCAGACAACCCAAAUUUAAAGAAGCAGUAAGUGAACAUAGUGUGGGUGAGAUGGACGGUGAGUGAGACUGAGGUAGAGAGGGAGUGAGAUAAUGAGAAAGCAAUGAAAGAUUGGCGUUAGUGGCAUUCCUUUUGUUACUGGAGGAAGCAUCCGUCUUGUACAUCACAUUAUACAGAUUGCGGCAUUGACAAUAGCAUGCAUUCAGUGCAUCUUGUAGCAGUGGCUUUAUCUGCUUCUCUGAAUGUGACCAUCUGCCAAAAAAAAUAAAUAAUGACGGUGCAGCAGCUUUGCGACAGAUUUGCCACAGACCUUUUCCCAGUGUGCCUCUCCCAACCCCACCCUUCUUUUAAACCCACCACUACAGCGACGCCAUUGACCUUUAUCUAAUUCCUCAGCCUUGACUGAGCCUCUGUUCCCUCCUGUUCGCUGGCUUUGACUGGUAAACAAGGCUUGAGAUUUCUGUCAGCCCCUCUGAAGCUCUGCUGCUGCUGCUGCUGCUGCCCCCAUUGCCAUGGCAACCAGACUAAGUCAGAUGUAACCUCCAGCAGUAAGCUCAUGGAUUUUUCAGCAUUCAGAUUAGUCCUUGUCUUUAUGUGUAUAUAAAUAUGCUUGUUUGUGCGCACUCUCUCUCUCUCUCUUUCUCUCGCUCUCGCUGUGUACGUGCGUGUGUGCGUGCGUACAUGCGUGUGCAAGUGUGUGUGUGUUUGUGUGUGUGUGUGUGAAUAAAAACUCAAGACGUCUAUGGGAAACCUGACUUAUGGGCAGAUUGUCCACUUGAAUUGAGAUUGAAUUGUGUGCAUAUCUGUGGCUAAAUCCAAGAUUCUCAAUAAGAUAUGAUGUUGAAGUUUUCGAAUGAUGGGUUCUGAAUGAGAGGAAAGCAUACUGAACCCACCUCAGUUCUCAGGCUGUGUGCUGUUUACGGAACAGUUAUGCAAUUGACCUGCUCUGCCAUUUGGCUGCUACUCGUAAAUAGUUUAGCAACACUUCACCCUGCAAAACGAAUGUCCAGUUCCAGCCAUUACAUGCCUGGAAAAAUCCCCGGAACAAAGGUUCCCCAAAAAAAGGUUCCCACUUUUGUGUUCAGAAAAGGUCAUUCAGGUUGAAGUAAUAUUUUUCCUCAUUUCACACUUCCUCAUUUUAGUUAUGUCAGUCUGCGUCCUCUAGAAUUUGAUGGACACGGGCUUGCAUGGAUGGAGGUCUGUGCCAAAUGGCAGUGGACAGCAGAGUCUGGAGACAGAGUUUGUUUUUCAGCUUUCCAUCUGGGGAGCUGUAAACAAGGCAAUGGAGUAUUUGAAAACAAACCUGCCCCACCCCAAACGGCUGUCAUGACAUUACGCAAAACAACAGAUUUUUCAUCGACUGUCCAUCCUCCAGAAAGGAAAGGCAGCAUUGAGGCCAAUGUACUGGGCGGCAGUGUAAUAUAAUAGGUAAGGAGUCGGUCUUCUAAACUAUAGGUCGCAGGUUCGAUUCUGCUGUUGUACUCUUGAACAAGGUAUUUUACCUGCAUUGCUUCAGUAUAUAUCGAGCUGUAUAAUUGGAUACAAUGUAAAUACUAAGUAAAAAAAGUUGUGUAAGUCGUUCUGGAUAUAAGUGUCUGCUAAAUGCUUGUAAUGUAAUGUAAAGUACGAAUUGGUGAUCAUACAUUAAAACUGGAGAAUAAAUUCAUUUGAAGGUUCCGCCAUAUUUCAUUGCACUUGUCAGUGGCAGUUGCGAAAGCCCAGCUUUGAUUUCAGCAUGUGAGUGCCGUAAAUGUUUGAACAGAUUGAAUUUAUUUUGGGUUGCCUGUCCCUGUAUCCCGUGAUGGGUGCUGGAGCUGCUAGAUCAUUUUAGGUAAUGAUUUCUGAAAAAAAAAAAAACACCCCACGGUCUGUCUUUGAAACGGGUUUCUUUGCUCGUGUUUCAAGGUCAUGUGACGCACCAAGGCGCAGCGCCACCUUUUUCCGUCUCGCAAACUCAAGAAGCGAGCAGGUGCUUGGGAGACGAUCGUGUGACGCGUCUAACUUUAGAACGCUGUUCGGACAUUUUUUUCCACCUCCUUGUGCUGUUUCGCCACACGAUAUUCAGCCUGGCAUCCCAGCCAGGCAAUGAUCAUUUAGGGUCCCUCCACGAGAGUCCCCCCGGAUCCCCCUGUUCCCCCGUGUCGCUGUGUCAGGCGCUGGUCGUGUGCAGAAUGCAUUCCCCACAUCGUCAGUCCGGUGCUCCUGCAGCGCACGCUUGUUACCACGGUACCGGUCUGAACUAUGUGUGGGUAAAGGUCAGGGGGUGAGAUGCAACAGCUGGUUAUGUCACCGAGACGGAACGAGCUCAGUGCUCUUGACGGUAGUGUUGGACUAUAAUGGUCUAGACAACAUGCAGGAACAGGUUGUCAUAUGAUACCAACUCCCCAGUUUCUCAGUCAAUAGGGAAGACCCUGCAGAAACAAAGGAAGAAGCGACCAAUAUGCUGGGAGCCUGAGGGACAGGACUGUGAUGUGUCCAAAUCAUCACACAUCAUGGGUCCAAUCAUUCAGUGGAAAUAUUGUGCAAGGUUGUGUUUGGGCAUGCACUGUACACAGUCUUGUAUUAGGAGAGCUCUAUCUAUCUCUCUCUGAGUGCUGGCUGUGGUGGUGCUUGGCUAUUCCUUUCUGUCUCCUGAUUUCUGUCAUGACGUGGACGUGUCCCUGUCGGUUGAGGCUAGGGAGGUACAAAAAAUUGCGAUUGCCUUGUAUUUUCCUGAGCACUGAAUUCAAAAAAACCUCUUGUGGGCAAAAACAGUAUUCGAGGCAAACACAUUUUAUGUGAUUUCAAAAAAGAAAAGAAAAAAAAGAUUUACCUCUCUUUGUACUUUAGACUGGGCCGGAGGCCUGUAGUGACUGCAGUUGACAGGACCAAUGCUGAAACAUUGGGACACGCUGACUGGAUCAAACCAUACUUGCGUUAUGGACGUGUGUUCACAUUAAACCACACUGCACUCACAUGUUCCACCUGAACGUUUCACACAGAGCUUGGAGGAUGAAGGCACGUUUCUGUGGGAAGUGGCACCAGGAGAGCUGAAGCUAACCCCCCUUCAUUAAAAAGCUCAGCUCUUUGUUUUGCUUCCAAUUAGGCCGAAGAGGGUGAUAAUGAGUGCUAGUCACAGUUUUUAAGAGAAUCGCUGAUCCCAGAGGUGUGACAGGAAACGACAACUCUCUUUCGACACCCCUCCUCCCACACCGCCCCUUUACCUGCCACCCCUAUCUCACACAUAUCUCUAUGGCAGCUGCUCUGGAGAAACGAGGCUUGCUUUCCCCCAAGUGCAGACAUAGCUCUGUGUCAUUUGCAUUUGAAUAGGAGAUGUCAUGUCUCCAGGUACCGUUUCUACAGUUAAUGUUACGUGUGUGUGUUUUUUUGCUUUGCUGUUGCCAUCGUUCAAGCAAACUCCAGAUCACAUUAUUUGUAAUAGGGCGUUCUGUGGAUCAUUCUCUGUCUCAAACCAUUGCAUAUUACAUUACAGUACAUUCAUUUAAUCAGCACCUACCCAGACUUUCUUAGAAUGCAAACCUGUUUCAAGCCCCAACCGUCACGAUUUAUUACAUGACUUCUUGACCUCUUGCACUAAUGCAUCUCCUGGAAAAUCUUGUGUUGUUUUUUUUUUUGAGCCGUUUUUUUAAAAAAAGAAAAAAGGGUUGAAAUGGUACACAGCUGUUGUGUGGUUGGGGGCCAGACCUUUAACCUUUCGGUGCAGACGGAGGCAUUCUCACCACAAGUGCCACUGAACCAGUCAUCACUGGUUUUCACAGAUAAUUUGUGGGCAAACGACCAUCCAAAAUGGUCGCUCUUCAAACAGGCUGACCUCUUUUUGGCGCCGCUUCGCUGCUUUUCGCAGCGCCGGAUGCACCGAUCGACCUUGGCUGCCAACGAUUCGGCAUCGACGCGUGCUUUCUGAUGGCCUCAGCAGAGCAUGCCUAUUGACAUCCCCAGGCACUAAAUGGCACGGCGCACCAGAGAACAUCGCAGCGCACACAGAAAGACGGUCCGCGCGCCGGUCUCCGCUAAUCGCCGCCGCGUCAGAGCGGAGACGCCGCUCCACGCCGCGCGACCUCGUGGCCCGCGUCAGAGGGAUGAUGGAGAUUUUUCCCCCGCUUCCUAAUUGAAAAACGGGCUUCUAGACGAUCUGUCAUUGGGAACCCAGAAGCAGGGGUGGAGCAUUAUCGGCGCUGCAUUAAUUAAUUCUUUUUCUCCAGGGUUAGGGGGCAGCGGAUCUUGGCACGCGGUUGACAUUGCUGAUUGAAAUUGCUUUGUCCCCCCGGUCUCUCCCUCGUGGCCCAGUUGGGCCCGGGCCAGGCUCUGUUGCGUCCUUCAGGAGGAGAGAUUCUCGCUGGUGAUCUCCGGGAGACGUUCGAACCGGCCGACUUUUUUCUAACUGACGGCUUACGACAGUCAUAACGUAGAUUACAGAAACUGCCCCCUGACAUUUUGGUUGAGGAUCCCAGGAAUGGUCUCCCAAGCAUCGGCCGAACCCAGGCCACAGAAAAGCAGUGGCAGAUAGCUGCAGAGGCAUGGACAGACACUACCCUUAGCUUUCUGAAAUCUUCACAGAGGCCGCAAGGACGCCAGAGUGCCACCGAGGCCAAACCGGAGGAGGGGAGGUGCUGCCAAACUGACUAACUGCCAGCUGCCCCCCCCUGAGCGGGCCUAUGUGGGAGUUUCUAACAGCCAACAGAAAGUGACACUUGAUAGGGUUCUCUGUUCGCUCCCCCCAAUGAAGGACUGGGUAUCUACAGGUCAGGAGUUGUCUUCAGUGUCAGAGUUGUCAAAUUGGCGCUAUAGCUAGCUCCCGGUAGUACCAUGUGCACUGAAGAAUGUCAUAUGCUUACUGAAUCACAGCUGAAAACAUUGUAUGCUCUUCAGCUCCAGAGCUUACACAGGGGUAUAGGUGGUACAGCAAUGAUAUGAGUAGCAAUUAUGCAACUUUAAAUUGUGGAGAAAAUCGGAAAUGAAUUGUUAAUUGUAAUAAAAUAAAAACAUCACAGACAAUAAUACUUGGUUCUAUAUUCUUUCAGAAUACAAGUGACAAUCCUGUCCUAAAAGUGAAAUGGGCUGUCUCACAGAACCAAAACUCCAUCAUGGGCUGACUAUCCUCUACAGAAAGUUAAUUUCUGUGCAUUCAUUUUCCAUCAAAGUGAUGUAUAGUCAGUUAACUCACAUUUUACGCACAGGAAUGUUAAGUUUGAAGCGACAAUGUGUUUUUAACCGGUUUGCUAUGCAGACCCAAGGGCUGUUUCUUUCAGGGAGCACAUUGAAUGUAAGUGUAUGUAAAAAAUAUUUGUUCAUUGAUUCUGGGGUGGGAACCAUGACAACGGAUGAUAAUACAAAAUAAAGUUAACAAUAUUUUCAUUGUAUUACAUUUCCACAACCUCCUUACUGUAAAUGAUAACACCUAUUAUCCCCUACUAUUCUUUUAUAAUCUUUCUGUGGAGGGAGUAUUGCUUGACUCUUGUGAGUAAAAUGAACCUCACCUAUCAUCUGCAGGAUUGUUUCCACAAAGCAAAAUGCCACCUGCAGUAUUCAACCUCUAAGCUUCAGGCUCAUGGAAACAUAAACAGAAGUUGUUGAACUACAGCCUUUCCCAAAAUGUAAAACAGUAACCGUUUGCUGUUUUUUUUUCUCUCCCAGAAAUGAAAAGCAAUCGUGGGGUCUGGGCUCUUCUUCUCGCCGUCCUCAGUGCUAUCUUCAGAUCCGCAUCGUGCUGACAGUGCGGAGCAGCCAGCGUGACGACGGGAACGAGCGGGGUUGGGGGGUGGGGGGGAGAGACGUGCAGGGAAAGAGGUUAGCCACUUUCCUGCUUUUGCACGCUGCGUAUUGAGUCCCAAGGUCACUGUCCUCAGCCGUGAAGGAGAAAGGCAAUGCAUAUUCAGCAGUCCUGAGCGUUUUAGUCCCUCUCCUUGUCCAGUUAGGGGAGCGAGCUCGCAGGAGACUGCUCGCUCUUUCAGUGUCUGUUUGUCUACGUGUCCGAAUUCAGGAAAUUGACAGGUUCACUUUUAACCAUUUUGCAUUGUGGUAAUAGCUUGCCGCAAACCCAUCAUAAUGUAUUACAGUUUGUCUCGAGAUUUCGCAUUGAAAGGGGGUCAUUUAGAGAGAAAUAUAACAGAAAUGACAGCGUGUAGAUUCGUGGUUAAUGCACAUUACCCUAUUUUCCACUGUCCUCUCUUUCUCUAUUUGACACUGAGAAUUCCCUCAAUGUUCCGGUAGCAUUGUAGCAAUAUUAAAAGCAAUGCGACAAUGUUUUUGGUACAGCUUAGGAACUGUGUAUUUGUAGUGGUCAAUGGCUACAGUCGUGAUGCAACAAAAAAUGAUUGAAGAAAUAAAAAGAGGUGUUAUGUAAUCUGACAAUCUGGGGGGGAAAAAAAACAAGGGAGAGACUCAUUUUGUCAUCCUAGAUAUUUUCCAGUGUAUUAUCAAUCUGGAGGACGAGAGUCACAAAUAUGUUUUGGAGCCCUUGGACAAAAAGGAAUUAGUUUAGGUAAGACAGGGUGAAUAUCCAGUUUUUUAAAUAUAUCAGCAUGAUUUAAGACUAUAUCUAGUAGUUUGUUUGCACAAGAAAUGAAUGGAAUGUUCAUUUAAUAUGAUCAGUAAUCUGAUGAUUAUUUUUUAACAUUGUUUGAACUGUUUGUGAACAUUGUAGAAAUUGGUAAAUUAUCACAGGAAUGUUCAAGCAAUAUCCUAAACGUGUCAGUUUACUUUUGUUGAACUGGGUGCAUACACCUUUUUAUUUAUUUAUUUAUUUAUUUAUUUAUUUAUUUAUUUAUUUAUUCAAUGUUGUAAACAUAGGAAACAUAGGAAGAUAAAAUUGCUAUGGGUCAAGACUAAACCAAAAUCAAUGGAAAUGCUUGUCCUUACACACCUAAACACACUAACAUAGACAAUCUUAUCUUGAUGUUGAAGCCCACGUAGAUAUUUUCUGCCUGUUUACAUCAA
This is a long non-coding RNA of Anguilla rostrata (American eel), 8056 nucleotides long. RefSeq lists it as uncharacterized. The record is from RefSeq and is a predicted model, not a curated record. The transcript has 5 exons. NCBI's taxonomy places the organism in Eukaryota, Metazoa, Chordata, Actinopteri, Anguilliformes, Anguillidae.